CAGCAGCCGCGGGAAUACGUAGGGUGCAAGCGUUAAUCGGAAUUACUGGGCGUAAAGCGUGCGCAGGCGGUUUGUUAAGACAGAUGUGAAAUCCCCGGGCUCAACCUGGGAACUGCAUUUGUGACUGGCAGGCUAGAGUAUGGCAGAGGGGGGUGGAAUUCCGCGUGUAGCAGUGAAAUGCGUAGAUAUGCGGAGGAACACCGAUGGCGAAGGCAGCCCCCUGGGCCAAUACUGACGCUCAUGCACGAAAGCGUGGGGAGCAAACAGGAUUAGAUACCCCCGUAGUCCCUGUCUCUUAUAC
This 301-nucleotide ribosomal RNA is filed under the name uncultured bacterium. RNAcentral's name for it is "partial 16S ribosomal RNA". It matches the Rfam family "Bacterial small subunit ribosomal RNA", at positions 509 to 807 of the family's 1533-position model. The record is from RNAcentral.